CAGUCCUUGACAUUCUCCCGGGCGGUUUCCAGAAAUGGAUUCCUCCUAGCAAUAGGUCGGAGAACAGGUGCUGCAUGGCUGUCGUCAGCCUCGUGUCGUGAGAUGUUGGGUUAAGUCCCGCAACGAAGCGCAACCCUCGCCAUUAGUUGCCAGCAUUUAGUUGGGCACUCUAGUGGGACUGCCGGUGAUAAGCCGGAGGAAGGUGGGGAUGACGUCAAGUCAUCAUGGCCCUUACGGGCUGGGCUACACACGUGCUACAAUGGCGGUGACAGUGGGCAGCCACCCAGCAAUGGGGAGCUAAUCACAAAAAACCGUCUCAGUUCGGAUUGGGGUCUGCAACUCGACCCCAUGAAGUCGGAAUCGCUAGUAAUCGCGGAUCAGCACGCCGCGGUGAAUACGUUCCCGGGCCUUGUACACACCGCCCGUCACACCAUGGGAGUUGGUUUUACCCGAAGACGGUGCGCUAACCCGCAAGGGAGGCAGCCGGCCACGGUAAGGUCAGCGACUGGGGUG
This 513-nucleotide ribosomal RNA is filed under the name uncultured bacterium. RNAcentral's name for it is "bacterial SSU rRNA". It matches the Rfam family "Bacterial small subunit ribosomal RNA", at positions 975 to 1482 of the family's 1533-position model. The record is from RNAcentral.